RNAcentral lists this ribosomal RNA (601 nucleotides) under fungal sp. ARIZ L84. Its description in RNAcentral is "eukaryotic LSU rRNA". The stretch from base 272 to 425 matches the Rfam family "5.8S ribosomal RNA". The record is from RNAcentral. Lineage: Eukaryota; Fungi.
UUCUUGGUCAUUUAGAGGAAGUAAAAGUCGUAACAAGGUCUCCGUUGGUGAACCAGCGGAGGGAUCAUUACCGAGUUUACAACUCCCAAACCCAAUGUGAACGUUACCAAACUGUUGCCUCGGCGGGAUCUCUGCCCCGGGUGCGUCGCAGCCCCGGACCAAGGCGCCCGCCGGAGGACCAACCAAAACUCUUAUUGUAUACCCCCUCGCGGGUUUUUUUAUAAUCUGAGCCUUCUCGGCGCCUCUCGUAGGCGUUUCGAAAAUGAAUCAAAACUUUCAACAACGGAUCUCUUGGUUCUGGCAUCGAUGAAGAACGCAGCGAAAUGCGAUAAGUAAUGUGAAUUGCAGAAUUCAGUGAAUCAUCGAAUCUUUGAACGCACAUUGCGCCCGCCAGUAUUCUGGCGGGCAUGCCUGUCCGAGCGUCAUUUCAACCCUCGAACCCCUCCGGGGGGUCGGCGUUGGGGAUCGGCCCUUCCCUUAGCGGGGUGGCCGUCUCCGAAAUACAGUGGCGGUCUCGCCGCAGCCUCUCCUGCGCAGUAGUUUGCACACUCGCAUCGGGAGCGCGGCGCGUCCACAGCCGUUAAACACCCAACUUCUGAAA